RNAcentral lists this ribosomal RNA (506 nucleotides) under uncultured bacterium. RNAcentral describes it as "partial 16S ribosomal RNA". It matches the Rfam family "Bacterial small subunit ribosomal RNA", at positions 28 to 523 of the family's 1533-position model. The record is from RNAcentral.
GAUGAACGCUAGCGGCAGGCUUAACACAUGCAAGUCGAGGGGCAGCAUAUUUUGUAGUAAUACAAGAUGAUGGCGACCGGCGCACGGGUGCGUAACGCGUAUGCAACCUACCAUAUACAGGGGGAUAAACUUUCGAAAGGGAGCCUAAUACCCCAUAGUAUUAUUUUAAGGCAUCUUGCAAUAAUUAAAGAUUAAUUGGUAUAUGAUGGGCAUGCGUGUUAUUAGCCAGUUGGUAAGGUAACGGCUUACCAAGGCGACGAUGACUAGGGGUUCUGAGAGGAAGAUCCCCCACACUGGUACUGAGACACGGACAAGACUCCUACGGGAGGCAGCAGUGAGGAAUAUUGGUCAAUGGGCGAGAGCCUGAACCAGCCAUGCCGCGUGCAGGAAGACGGCCCUAUGGGUUGUAAACUGCUUUUAUGUGAGGAUAAACCUAUUCUUGCGAGAGUAGCUGAAGGUAUCACAUGAAUAAGGAUCGGCUAACUCCGUGCCAGCCGCCGCGGUAA